GAUCCUGGCUCAGGACGAACGCUGGCGGCGUGCUUAACACAUGCAAGUCGAACGCUGAAGCCCAGCUCGCUGGGUGGAUGAGUGGCGAACGGGUGAGUAACACGUGAGUAACCUGCCCCCCUUCUUUGGGAUAACGCCCGGAAACGGGUGCUAAUACUGGAUAUUCACUGAUCUUCGCAUGGGGGUUGGUGGAAAGGUUUUUUCUGGUGGGGGAUGGGCUCGCGGCCUAUCAGCUUGUUGGUGGGGUGAUGG
RNAcentral lists this ribosomal RNA (252 nucleotides) under uncultured bacterium. Its description in RNAcentral is "partial 16S ribosomal RNA". It matches the Rfam family "Bacterial small subunit ribosomal RNA", at positions 15 to 263 of the family's 1533-position model. The record is from RNAcentral.